UGGGGAAUAUUGGACAAUGGGCGCAAGCCUGAUCCAGCCAUGCCGCGUGAGUGACGAAGGUCUUCGGAUUGUAAAGCUCUUUUUGGCGGGGACGAUAAUGACGGUACCCGCAGAAUAAGCCCCGGCUAACUUCGUGCCAGCAGCCGCGGUAAUACGAAGGGGGCUAGCGUUGUUCGGAAUCACUGGGCGUAAAGCGCACGUAGGCGGACUUAUAAGUCAGGGGUGAAAUCCCGGGGCUCAACCUCGGAACUGCCUCUGAUACUGUGAGUCUCGAGACCGGAAGAGGUGAGUGGAAUUCCUAGUGUAGAGGUGAAAUUCGUAGAUAUUAGGAAGAACACCAGUGGCGAAGGCGGCUCACUGGUCCGGUUCUGACGCUGAGGUGCGAAAGCGUGGGGAGCAAACAGGAUUAGAUACCCUUGUAGUCCCUGAGCGGGCUGGCAAGGCG
Molecule: ribosomal RNA, 445 nt
Filed under: uncultured bacterium
Lineage: Bacteria
Description: bacterial SSU rRNA
Rfam family: Bacterial small subunit ribosomal RNA
Source: RNAcentral